UACGUAGGGUGCAAGCGUUAAUCGGAAUUACUGGGCGUAAAGCGUGCGCAGGCGGUUAUGCAAGACAGAUGUGAAAUCCCCGGGCUCAACCUGGGAACUGCAUUUGUGACUGCAUGGCUAGAGUACGGUAGAGGGGGAUGGAAUUCCGCGUGUAGCAGUGAAAUGCGUAGAUAUGCGGAGGAACACCGAUGGCGAAGGCAAUCCCCUGGACCUGUACCGACGCUCAUGCACGAAAGCGUGGGGAGCAAACAGG
This 253-nucleotide ribosomal RNA is filed under the name uncultured bacterium. RNAcentral describes it as "partial 16S ribosomal RNA". It matches the Rfam family "Bacterial small subunit ribosomal RNA", at positions 524 to 776 of the family's 1533-position model. The record is from RNAcentral.